GCCGGGCAUGGUGGCUCAUGCCUGUAAUCCCAGCACUUUGGGAGGCCGAGGUGGGCGGAUCACCUGAGGUCAGGAGUUCGAGACCAGCCUGACCAACAUGGAGAAACCCAUCUCUA
Molecule: non-coding RNA, 116 nt
Filed under: Nomascus leucogenys (northern white-cheeked gibbon)
Lineage: Eukaryota; Metazoa; Chordata; Mammalia; Primates; Hylobatidae
Source: Rfam by way of RNAcentral